RNAcentral lists this ribosomal RNA (46 nucleotides) under Caulerpa taxifolia. RNAcentral describes it as "partial 28S ribosomal RNA". The record is from RNAcentral. Lineage: Eukaryota; Viridiplantae; Chlorophyta; Ulvophyceae; Bryopsidales; Caulerpaceae.
GCGAGGAAACCCGCUGAACUUAAGCAUAUCACUAAGCGAGAAAAGA